GACGAACGCUGGCGGCGUGCCUAAUACAUGCAAGUAGAACGCUGAAGGAGGAGCUUGCUUCUCUGGAUGAGUUGCGAACGGGUGAGUAACGCGUAGGUAACCUGCCUGGUAGCGGGGGAUAACUAUUGGAAACGAUAGCUAAUACCGCAUAAGAGUAGAUGUCGCAUGACAUUUGCUUAAAAGGUGCAAUUGCAUCACUACCAGAUGGACCUGCGUUGUAUUAGCUAGUUGGUGAGGUAACGGCUCACCAAGGCAAUGAUACAUAGCCGACCUGAGAGGGUGAUCGGCCACACUGGGACUGAGACACGGCCCAGACUCCUACGGGAGGCAGCAGUAGGGAAUCUUCGGCAAUGGACGGAAGUCUGACCGAGCAACGCCGCGUGAGUGAAGAAGGGUUUCGGAUCGUAAAGCUCUGUUGUAAGAGAAGAACGAGUGUGAGAGUGGAAAGUUCACACUGUGACGGUAUCUUACCAGAAAGGGACGGCUAACUACGUG
Molecule: ribosomal RNA, 495 nt
Filed under: uncultured bacterium
Lineage: Bacteria
Description: partial 16S ribosomal RNA
Rfam family: Bacterial small subunit ribosomal RNA
Source: RNAcentral